Non-coding RNA from Schistosoma haematobium, 45 nucleotides. The record is from Rfam. Lineage: Eukaryota; Metazoa; Platyhelminthes; Trematoda; Strigeidida; Schistosomatidae.
CUCCAGCAGAUGAGUCCAAAAUAGGACGAAACACGCUUGCUGGAC